RNAcentral lists this ribosomal RNA (750 nucleotides) under uncultured bacterium. Its description in RNAcentral is "bacterial SSU rRNA". It matches the Rfam family "Bacterial small subunit ribosomal RNA", at positions 8 to 753 of the family's 1533-position model. The record is from RNAcentral.
AGAGUUUGAUCAUGGCUCAGAUUGAACGCUGGCGGAAUGCUUUACACAUGCAAGUCGAGCGGCAGCACGGGGGCAACCCUGGUGGCGAGCGGCGAACGGGUGAGUAAUACAUCGGAACAUGCCCAGUCGUGGGGGAUAACACUUCGAAAGAAGUGCUAAUACCGCAUACGUCCUGAGGGAGAAAGCGGGGGAUCGCAAGACCUCGCGCGAUUGGAGUGGCCGAUGUCAGAUUAGCUAGUUGGUGGGGUAAAGGCCUACCAAGGCAACGAUCUGUAGCUGGUCUGAGAGGAUGAUCAGCCACACUGGGACUGAGACACGGCCCAGACUCCUACGGGAGGCAGCAGUGGGGAAUUUUGGACAAUGGGGGCAACCCUGAUCCAGCCAUUCCGCGUGAGUGAAGAAGGCCUUCGGGUUGUAAAGCUCUUUCGGCAGGAACGAAACGGUGAGCUCUAACAUAGCUUGCUAAUGACGGUACCUGAAGAAGAAGCACCGGCUAACUACGUGCCAGCAGCCGCGGUAAUACGUAGGGUGCGAGCGUUAAUCGGAAUUACUGGGCGUAAAGCGUGCGCAGGCGGUUGUGUAAGACAGGUGUGAAAUCCCCGGGCUUAACCUGGGAACUGCGCUUGUGACUGCACAGCUAGAGUAUGGCAGAGGGGGGUGGAAUUCCACGUGUAGCAGUGAAAUGCGUAGAGAUGUGGAGGAACACCGAUGGCGAAGGCAGCCCCCUGGGCCAAUACUGACGCUCAUGCA